GCUAGUGGCGAACGGGUGAGUAUCACGUGAGAAACCUACCCCGAAGAUGGGAAUAGCCCAAGGAAACCUGGAUUAAUACCCAAUAAUCUGCGAUCACCGCCUGGUGAACGCAGCAAACGCUCCGGCGCUUCGGGAGGGUCUCGCGGCCUAUCAGCUAGUUGGUGAGGUAAUGGCUCACCAAGGCAUCGACGGGUAGCUGGUCUGAGAGGACGAUCAGCCACACUGGGACUGAGACACGGCCCAGACUCCUACGGGAGGCAGCAGUGGGGAAUCUUGCGCAAUGGGCGAAAGCCUGACGCAGCAACGCCGCGUGGGGGAUGAAGGCUCUCGGGUCGUAAACCCCUUUCAGCAGGGACGAAAAUGACGGUACCUGCAGAAGAAGCGCCGGCCAACUACGUGCCAGCAGCCGCGGUAAUACGUAGGGCGCAAGCGUUGUCCGGAUUUAUUGGGCGUAAAGAGCUCGUAGGCGGUUUGGUAAGUCGGGUGUGAAAACUCAGGGCUCAACCCUGAGACGCCACUCGAUACUGCCAUGACUAGAGUCCGGUAGAGGAGUGUGGAAUUCCUAGUGUAGCGGUGAAAUGCGCAGAUAUUAGGAGGAACACCAACAGCGAAGGCAGCACUCUGGGCCGGUACUGACGCUGAGGAGCGAAAGCGUGGGGAGCGAACAGGAUUAGAUACCCUGGUAGUCCACGCCGUAC
RNAcentral lists this ribosomal RNA (698 nucleotides) under uncultured bacterium. Its description in RNAcentral is "bacterial SSU rRNA". It matches the Rfam family "Bacterial small subunit ribosomal RNA", at positions 91 to 805 of the family's 1533-position model. The record is from RNAcentral.